This 254-nucleotide ribosomal RNA is filed under the name uncultured bacterium. Its description in RNAcentral is "partial 16S ribosomal RNA". It matches the Rfam family "Bacterial small subunit ribosomal RNA", at positions 524 to 776 of the family's 1533-position model. The record is from RNAcentral.
UACGAGGGGGGGCUAGCGUUGCUCGGAAUUACUGGGCGUAAAGCGCACGUAGGCGGUCUUUUAAGUCGGGGGUGAAAUCCUGGAGCUCAACUCCAGAACUGCCUUCGAUACUGGAAGACUUGAGUCCGGGAGAGGUGAGUGGAACUGCGAGUGUAGAGGUGAAAUUCGUAGAUAUUCGCAAGAACACCAGUGGCGAAGGCGGCUCACUGGCCCGGUACUGACGCUGAGGUGCGAAAGCGUGGGGAGCAAACAGG